Dreissena polymorpha is the source of this 896-nucleotide long non-coding RNA. RefSeq lists it as uncharacterized. The record is from RefSeq and is a predicted model, not a curated record. The transcript is spliced from 2 exons. NCBI's taxonomy places the organism in Eukaryota, Metazoa, Mollusca, Bivalvia, Myida, Dreissenidae.
UGUAUAUCAAGUGUGGUCAUGGUUGGUUAUUCAACUCGGUGACACGUCUUACGACGGGGAGCACCGUAGCUACAACCGCGUUGUUGAAAUGUUUACAUCUUCAACAACGGACGCCACGAAGGAGAGGAUUUCUAAAUGAUUUCCGGGCCGGAAGAGUUAGCGUUGUUGUGGCAACAGUCGCCUUUGGGCUUGGAAUCGACAUUCCAGACGUGUGGCUCGUGGUCCACUGGGGCGCAACGCGCUCUAUCCUGUCUUACUGGCAGAGCCGGUAGCGAUGGAGAUCCCGCUCUUGCUCUAGUUUUCGCGUACCCUCGGUCCAUAACGGAUUGCCAUGACGCUAUGAAGACCAUGGUGAAUGGGACGGAAUGCGUCAGACGUACCGUUCUGAAGGAGCUAAGAACUAAAGACAUGAAUCCUAUUCCUGCCCAAGGCGAUGGUUGUCAAGAUGACACAUGUGAAGUGUGUGUUUGCCAGUUGUGUAUUUGUUGUAACAGAUGCUCACGAAGCUGUACAUGUUUUGGAGCGUGUCCGGACAAACUAUUAUGAAGUUCUCUUUAUGUUGAUUGUUUUGUGACCAUUAUCAUGGGUUUAGCAUUAUUUCGAUUGAUUUUUUCUAGUAAAUGUAUGUCUAUAAUUAACACUUACACUGAAUAGUACUAGUAGUGCUUAUUUCACUGUUUACUGGCAGGUAGUAACAUUUGUGCAUGACAUUGUUGAUAUUUAUAAUUAUAAUUGCCAAAGUACUUUGUCAUUGGGGAUACACAGCGUUGGGACAAGAACCAAUUAAUAUGGUAGCAUAUUUUUCAUUUGACGUGUUAGACUUGUUUCAAUGUUCAAUGUAGAUGUAUUCAUUUUAACAUGCUAUUUUCAUUGAUGAAGUAAAGUUUUCUAAUGUU